AGAGCCCGGCGGGUGGGAGCUGUGGGGAGAGCCCGGGUCCCGCACGGCUUCCCCAGGCCUCGUACCCCUCACUGAGCACGUGGGGAAGGGUCUAGGGACGAAGCGGCAUCCGAGGGGACGCGGGGUGAGAGGGGACAGAUGGCUCGCCAGAAGGGACACGAGGGAACCGCUGGAGAUGUGUCAGGCAGGGUCAGGCUGGAGAUCAUGGAAAGGCUCUUCCCCCAGAGGGUGCUGGCACUGCCCAGGCUCCCCAGGGAAUGGGCACGGCCCCGAGGCUGCCAGAGCUCCAGGAGCCUUUGGACAGCGCUGCCAGGGAUGCCCAGGCUGGGGUCGGUGGGGUGUCUGGGCAGGGACAGGGGCUGGACUCAAUGAUCCUUGUUGGUUUCUUCCAUGUCAGGAAAGUCUGUGAUUCCAUGAUUGUCUGAACAGCUUGGGCAACACCAUGCCUGCCUCCUCUUCCCCAACUCUUUCUUCCCCCCACAGCACACCCAGGGCUGAAAUCACCCCUUGCCCUUUUAGCCUCGAAGCUCCCAGCUCUUGGUCCCCACGUGUUUGAGAGUUGUUUUGCCACAACACAAAACAGGGAAAGCCUUUCUCUACCCCCACACAAAACUCAUCCUGACACCCUGUCCCUCCACCAAGAGCUUUUCCUCACCAUAUGCUCACAACGCUCAUCGCUGCUCUUGUUUGCUCAAGCAAACCUUGUUAAUUUCAUCAGCAAACUUUGUUAAUUUCCUCCAAAAAGAAAGGGAAAAAAAAUCAGUGCUUUUCUUCCCCUGGAAAGCACACAGCAUUAACUAUAAACAUAAUUACAUCUCAUACAUACCUGGUGUUUUCUUCCUUGUGAAGCAGUACCAAAAAUAGUUAUUAAUAAUAUUAAUAAAAUAAUCUGAACUUGUGAAUUUUCCUGCCCCAGCCCAUGAAACUCUCUUUCCCAAGAGCUCCACAAAACCAAGGAUUUGUAUGAAGCCAAAUGCUGAUUUUGCUCUUGUUCCCCAGCCUAAAGACAACUUCAAAGAUAUUGCAAAACACAGAUUUAUUUUUCUUAAUAUCUUUUAUGCAGAUUUCAUUCCAAAUCACUGUACGGUCAGAUAAUGUAAUUACAGAGCUAAAUAAAAACAAAGGGGCAGGGGAAUUGGUGGAGACAUUGGGCAAGGGAAGAUGUUUUCUGAGUGAGCUUAGAAGGGAUGUGGGAAGUCAAGAAGCAGAAACCACUCACAAGGUUUCAGCCCCAGCGCAGGCAUGAAGUGCAGCCAGAAGGAAUCCCCCGUGGAGCAGACUAAAGCAGAAUUUGGUGUUUGACAAAUGUUUGAGGAGGGUUUGGGGGAAAAUGCGGUUUUGACACGGAGUUUGCAGAAUGAGGAGAAGCUCGGAUAUACUCUCACCAUACCUUUGUGUUUGGAAACCUGCUUGCAGCCCUCCAAAAGCCACAGCCUGGAGGUAAAAGUUGCCUGCCCCACUGUGUCGCUCAUGGCUGAGGGCACAUUUCAAGCCAUGCCUGGAUGCUUUGAAGCAUGUUCAGCACUGGAGAACCCAUCACAGCUCAUGGUGUGGCCAACCAUUGCCCAACCAUUGCCCAACCAUUCGUCACCUUCUCGCUUUGAGCCUGACCCUGUUUUGCUUCCAUUUGAUCCAUUUGUAACAUGGAAAAGCUUUCUGCCCUCCACAAACUGUGAAUAAAUCAUACCUUCACCUUCUUUUGCGGACCCUCUUCCCUCUGGAAGGACAAUGUUUGAGCUCUCCAAGCUUCCUCAGCCCAAACCUCCCAUUUCUUUUGGUCAUGGAGACAGAAUAGAUGCAGAAAAGGGGUGGCACCUGUGAAACUCACAGAGAUCCCAACCAGAUCUCUGUCAUGCGUGUUUUUGCAAUGGCUUUGCAGUCUGCUUUGUCUGCUCAGCAAGCACAGACAUUGCUCUGAGUGGAGGGGUUUGGGGUCCACAGGGGAGAGUUCCCAGUUCUGGGUCUGAUCUCAGAGUUCAAAGCCUCCCUCCUGAGGGAUUUGGCUGUUGGUUGGUCCUGACUUUGUGAAACCGGCCCUUAGAAUGUGCCUGUGUUCCUGCUGCUGAUUUUGUGCUGUUUAGACACAAAAAACACCAUCACUGGUGACCCCUCCUGCCUGAGGGACAGCCCCCUCUCCUCCAAUGGAGUGAGGUCCAGUGCAGAAAUUCUGCAAGUCAAGACAUCCUUGAUUAGGAAAUUUCUAUGGAUUAGGUCUGGGAAAUUCCAAGCAUGUUUUAUUCCUGGCAGAGUGAGAUACCCAUCAGGUCACUCAGGCUGAAGUCCCUUCUGAUGAGGAGACCUCUUUGGGACAGAUGUUUUAGUCUUGCCACUCCAGUAGCAUCCAAUGGGCUCUUAUGUCCUGACUGGUACCAAAUUUUGGCUUUGUCUCUCAAAACUUCCUCAUUAUCAGUGACCAAAGCCUGAAAACCCACAUCCUUAUUUUGAAGUACCCUCAGACCUUCCCUGGGUAACAGCUAAUGACAGGCCAAUUGCAGUCAGGAACUCUCCACACCACAUUUCAGAACACUUUCCAAGAAAGGUCAGUCAUUUACUCCAGCUUCUGGUGUCCGCAGGCAGAGAUGACAGUGGUACUCACAUCUCUGUGGGAUUCCCAGCCUGAAAAGGUUGAAUUCCUCCUGGAACAUCAGUAUCUGCACGGCGCUGGGCUUGCCAGAGCUCAGGAGAUUCCGUGAUUCUUUGAAUGCUCACCUGAGGACAAAGAUACAACACAGUGGAGCUGUGAUUGCUUUCGUCCCCUCGUUUGCUGGGACCGUGUGCACCCUGAGAGCUUGAAAGGAUCUGCACCAGUGUGAGCUGCAGCACGGACUGGGGAUCUCUGCAAUGGACUAAAUGCUCUGAAAACCAACAGUGGAC
Long non-coding RNA from Passer domesticus (house sparrow), 2874 nucleotides. RefSeq lists it as uncharacterized. The record is from RefSeq and is a predicted model, not a curated record. Lineage: Eukaryota; Metazoa; Chordata; Aves; Passeriformes; Passeridae. The transcript has 3 exons.